ACGCACGCUGGCGGCGUGCCUAAUACAUGCAAGUCGCACGCUUCUUUCCUCCCGAGUGCUUGCACUCAAUUGGAAAGAGGAGUGGCGGACGGGUGAGUAACACGUGGGUAACCUACCCAUCAGAGGGGGAUAACACUUGGAAACAGGUGCUAAUACCGCAUAACAGUUUAUGCCGCAUGGCAUAAGAGUGAAAGGCGCUUUCGGGUGUCGCUGAUGGAUGGACCCGCGGUGCAUUAGCUAGUUGGUGAGGUAACGGCUCACCAAGGCCACGAUGCAUAGCCGACCUGAGAGGGUGAUCGGCCACACUGGGACUGAGACACGGCCCAGACUCCUACGGGAGGCAGCAGUAGGGAAUCUUCGGCAAUGGACGAAAGUCUGACCGAGCAACGCCGCGUGAGUGAAGAAGGUGUUCGGAUCGUAAAACUCUGUUGUUAGAGAAGAACAAGGACGUUAGUAACUGAACGUCCCCUGACGGUAUCUAACCAGAAAGCCACGGCUAACUACGUG
This 507-nucleotide ribosomal RNA is filed under the name uncultured bacterium. Its description in RNAcentral is "partial 16S ribosomal RNA". It matches the Rfam family "Bacterial small subunit ribosomal RNA", at positions 29 to 507 of the family's 1533-position model. The record is from RNAcentral.